This 454-nucleotide ribosomal RNA is filed under the name uncultured bacterium. Its description in RNAcentral is "partial 16S ribosomal RNA". It matches the Rfam family "Bacterial small subunit ribosomal RNA", at positions 28 to 507 of the family's 1533-position model. The record is from RNAcentral.
GAUGAACGCCGACAGAAUGCUUAACACAUGCAAGUCAACUUGAACUUCGGUUUGGGUGGCGGACGGGUGAGUAACGCGUAAAGAACCUGCCUCACAGCUAGGGACAACAUUUGGAAACGAAUGCUAAUACCUGAUAUUAUGAUUAUAUGGCAUCGUAUAAUUAUGAAAGCUAUAUGCGCUGUGAGAGAGCUUUGCGUCCCAUUAGCUAGUUGGAGAGGUAACAGCUCACCAAGGCGAUGAUGGGUAGCCGGCCUGAGAGGGUGAUCGGCCACAAGGGGACUGAGACACGGCCCUUACUCCUACGGGAGGCAGCAGUGGGGAAUAUUGGACAAUGGACCGAGAGUCUGAUCCAGCAAUUCUGUGUGCACGAUGAAGUUUUUCGGAAUGUAAAGUGCUUUCAGUUGGGAAGAAAAAAAUGACGGUACCAACAGAAGAAGUGACGGCUAAAUACGUG